AUUGAACGCUGGCGGCAUGCUUUACACAUGCAAGUCGAACGGUAACAGGUUAAGCUGACGAGUGGCGAACGGGUGAGUAAUGCAUCGGAACGUGCCCGGUCGUGGGGGAUAACGCAGCGAAAGCUGCGCUAAUACCGCAUACGAUCUGAGGAUGAAAGCGGGGGACCGUAAGGCCUCGUGCGAUCGGAGCGGCCGGUGUCAGCUUAGGUAGUUGGUGGGGUAAAGGCUCACCAAGCCAACGAUCUUGAGCUUGUCUGGGAGGAUGACCAGCCCCACUGGGACUGAGACACGGCCCAGACUCCUACGGGAGGCAGCAGUGGGGAAGUUUGGACAAUGAGCGAAAGCCUGAUCCAGCAAUGCCACGUGCAGGAAGAAGGCCUUCGGGUUGUAAACUGCUUUUGUACGGAGCGAAAAGGUCUCCUCUAAUACAGGGGGCUCAUGACGGUACCGUAAGAAUAAGCACCGGCUAACUACGUGCCAGCCGCCGCGGUAA
This 493-nucleotide ribosomal RNA is filed under the name uncultured bacterium. RNAcentral's name for it is "partial 16S ribosomal RNA". It matches the Rfam family "Bacterial small subunit ribosomal RNA", at positions 30 to 523 of the family's 1533-position model. The record is from RNAcentral.